UCGUCUCCUCGUUCCCCUUUGUUGUCUAGGGUCGCCGCCCGCCGCCGCCGCCGCCGGCCAAGCUACCCUUUACCAAGUCCCGCACCGCCACACCCAAACUUUAGUAAGCGACCGACAAACAGGCAUGUCGACGGAGAGGAUCCGCCCCGAGUUGCUAUCUGUGUGCUACAUCCGACCAACUAUCGUCAUGUUAUUCGGGAUUUGAAGAACUACGUCCUUGAGGGAGACUUUCCAGGACGAAAUCAAGCAAACCUGCAGGUGGAGCAAUACCAAGACCCUCCUUGUGAUGCUGGAUUCAGGAAUGGUCAACAUGUUGAUCACACCACUAUUCCAGCUUCUAACAGUGAGAGGGACAUUCUGGGAGCAAAUCAAGCAGACCAGAUGGCAGUGCAACACGAGGGACAUUAUUUAGACAAGUUAUGGCCAGCCAUCAAUUCGUUCCUCCCAGGAAGCCCCACCACCACAGGCAUUUUUGGAUGGUCUUUGUCAGUUUCUAUUUUCAGAAGAGCCUGA
RNAcentral lists this ribosomal RNA (513 nucleotides) under Triticum aestivum (bread wheat). RNAcentral's name for it is "partial small subunit ribosomal RNA". Lineage: Eukaryota; Viridiplantae; Streptophyta; Magnoliopsida; Poales; Poaceae. The record is from RNAcentral.